This is a non-coding RNA of Cyanistes caeruleus (blue tit), 843 nucleotides long. The record is from RefSeq and is a predicted model, not a curated record. NCBI's taxonomy places the organism in Eukaryota, Metazoa, Chordata, Aves, Passeriformes, Paridae.
AAAGAACUCAGUGCUGCAGCAUUCAACAUUGACCAAAGGCUCCUUCCUGGGACUGGAUCUUGCCAGAGCCAUGUUACUCUGUAGCGUUAGAAUUGGCUCCUGCAAUGAAUAUUCCAGGCUGAAUAGUUCUCAGAGGACAGCUGGAUGCUGUAGUUCCAAAGCUGUUCCUGAUGACCUGCUGGAAGGCAAAGUUUCCAAACACCAACUGGCCAGCGCUAAAGACUGCUCUUACUUCAGAUCCCAGAGCAGGGUGUCUGACUGCACCUUUCUCCUAGUGAAAACCAGGAUGCUCUUUCCCUCAAGGCAGGGAGACCCCAAAUCCUCAUUAAAUGCAGAAAACAGAGAGUUAAAGACAGCAGGCUUCUUCAAAGGAAAUGUACCAGGGCUAGUCAGUGCAGUUGCAUGAUUAGGUGAGAUUUUAUUUAUCAAUAACCAUUGAAGUGUGGUGAUAUUAACAGCUGCACUUUCUUUCUGCUUCUGUUCCCUCUAGUGCAGAGCCAGGAGUUGUCAUCAGCUGUCCAAUUUGCAUGGACUUUUACUCAGAGAUUAUGCAAAGUGGACGACAGCUUGUCACAACCGUGUGUGGACACGUGUUCUGCAGCGCAUGCCUCCCUGUUGCCCUGGAGACCACCGGCAUGUGCCCAACCUGCAGGGCAGAACUCGAUCCAGGACUUUAUUUUCCAAUUUAUUUAUGAGUGCUUUUGCUUCUCAGGGCAGACUUAGGUAGACCCUGGAGAACAGGCAAUGUACAGGCUUGUUUCUUUAGGCAUAUAGUUCUUUCUGUACAUAGUUUCAUUUUUGCUUAGUUCAGUUAUAAAUAAAGUUUUGAUUGUUUUAAAUAUA